UGGAGGAAAGCAGGGGAUCGCAAGACCUUGCGCUUUUGGAGUGGCCGAUGCCUGAUUAGCUAGUUGGUGGGGUAAUGGCCUACCAAGGCGACGAUCAGUAGUUGGUUUGAGAGGACGACCAGCCACACCGGGACUGAGACACGGCCCAGACUCCUACGGGAGGCAGCAGUGGGGAAUUUUGGACAAUGGGCGAAAGCCUGAUCCAGCAAUGCCGCGUGAGUGAAGAAGGCCUUCGGGUUGUAAAGCUCUUUCAGUCGAGAAGAAAAGGUUGUGACUAAUAAUCACAACUCAUGACGGUAUCGACAGAAGAAGCACCGGCUAACUACGUGCCAGCAGCCGCGGUAAUACGUAGGGUGCGAGCGUUAAUCGGAAUUACUGGGCGUAAAGGGUGCGCAGGCGGCUUUGUAAGUCAGAUGUGA
This 419-nucleotide ribosomal RNA is filed under the name uncultured ammonia-oxidizing beta proteobacterium. RNAcentral's name for it is "bacterial SSU rRNA". It matches the Rfam family "Bacterial small subunit ribosomal RNA", at positions 197 to 597 of the family's 1533-position model. The record is from RNAcentral. Lineage: Bacteria; Pseudomonadati; Pseudomonadota; Betaproteobacteria.